UACAGAGGUCCCAAGCGUUGUUCGGAUUCACUGGGCGUAAAGGGUGCGCAGGUGGUCGGGUAAGUCUGAUGUGAAAUCCCGCAGCUUAACUGCGGAAUGGCAUUGGAUACUAUUUGGCUAGAGGGUUGGAGGGGGGACUGGAAUUCUCGGUGUAGCAGUGAAAUGCGUAGAUAUCGCGAGGAACACCAGUGGCGAAGGCGAGUCCCUGGACAACUCCUGACACUGAGGCACGAAAGCUAGGGGAGCAAACAGG
Molecule: ribosomal RNA, 253 nt
Filed under: uncultured bacterium
Lineage: Bacteria
Description: partial 16S ribosomal RNA
Rfam family: Bacterial small subunit ribosomal RNA
Source: RNAcentral